Oreochromis niloticus (Nile tilapia) is the source of this 1043-nucleotide long non-coding RNA. RefSeq lists it as uncharacterized. The record is from RefSeq and is a predicted model, not a curated record. Lineage: Eukaryota; Metazoa; Chordata; Actinopteri; Cichliformes; Cichlidae. The transcript has 4 exons.
GCCCCUUGGAGUUUGCGUAGGCAAUUCUAUCUGAUGAAAAUGCUUUUGACAGCUUCCACAUGAAUUGCUAUCUAAUGGCGGCCCUUCUGUCGGUCUCGUGUCACGAGUGUUUUAAGUGCAGGUUGGAAGGAAAGGGGUGUCUUUGUUUGGGACAGUCAGCCAAGACUAACUGGGAUCAUCCUGGUUCACAGAUACAAGAUCCUGACAACGUUCAGACAUUCGCUCACAUAUCACUGAAAAACUGUUUUGUUUCACUUGCGAGUCGUGCUCCUAACCCUUCACCAUCCCAUCAUGCCAAGUCAUUUAAGGCAUCUGUGGCCUCUCUGGCCCAGCCUCUGCAGCCCCAUCAACCCCUGCCGCGGCUCAUAACAGCGCAUGCCCACUUGGCUGGGCCAGCCGGGAGGGCAGCCGGGCCAGGACUCCCAGGACUCCCAAGCAUCCAGAGCAGCUGGAAGCCCCAUCUUCCCAUCCUGCUUCUCAGCAAAACAAUCAAAACAGAAAAUCUAUAAUAAAUCAGUCUCAGGCUCUAUAUGGGAAAAGAAAAAAAAAAAAGAGGAGGGAUUCAGUCAAGGAAAUCGCUGUUUGAAAACUGAAAGCAAUGAAUUUUCUUCAGCUAUCUAAAAUAAAAAAGUUGCCAGGUCCAACCUGGAGUAUGUGAAUGUAAUAGAGAGCUGCGAGUCCAUUAGCAGGAGCUGUCAUGUUUCCCUUUUCAACCAAUAAGCUUUAAUGAUGACAAUUAUUUAAAAGAAGAAGAAAAAAACACACAAAAACAAAAGGUGUUAGGAAUCUUUUAAUGUGACUAACUCUGGGUUGUGCAUUAGCAGUUAUACUAUAUACAUAUAAGUGUAUGUACAAGCCUGCUGAUUUCAAACUAACUUAGACUCAUUGAGUUAAUACCUCUAACCUAAACAACUGUAAUGGAGAGCAUGAAAAAUCUCCCCUCCCCCUUACUUCUCACACCCUCCAAGAGGACACAAAUACACACACACAGAGUCUGACCACCCCAAAGCUAAUGCAGUUGACUCAGAGGGUCAUCUGUAGUU